Molecule: ribosomal RNA, 543 nt
Filed under: uncultured bacterium
Lineage: Bacteria
Description: bacterial SSU rRNA
Rfam family: Bacterial small subunit ribosomal RNA
Source: RNAcentral
AAUAGAUACCCCGGGGUAGUCCACGCCGUAAACGAUGAGUGCUAAGUGUUAGAGGGGUUUCCGCCCUUUAGUGCUGCAGCUAACGCAUUAAGCACUCCGCCUGGGGAGUACGGCCGCAAGGCUGAAACUCAAAGGAAUUGACGGGGGGCCCGCACAAGCGGUGGAGCAUGUGGUUUAAUUCGAAGCAACGCGAAGAACCUUACCAGGUCUUGACAUCCUCUGACCUCCCUGGAGACAGGGCCUUCCCCUUCGGGGGACAGAGUGACAGGUGGUGCAUGGUUGUCGUCAGCUCGUGUCGUGAGAUGUUGGGUUAAGUCCCGCAACGAGCGCAACCCUUGACCUUAGUUGCCAGCAUUCAGUUGGGCACUCUAAGGUGACUGCCGGUGACAAACCGGAGGAAGGUGGGGAUGACGUCAAAUCAUCAUGCCCCUUAUGACCUGGGCUACACACGUGCUACAAUGGAUGGUACAAAGGGCUGCGAGACCGCGAGGUUAAGCCAAUCCCAGAAAACCAUUCCCAGUUCGGAUUGCAGGCUGCAACCCG